Molecule: ribosomal RNA, 233 nt
Filed under: Triticum aestivum (bread wheat)
Lineage: Eukaryota; Viridiplantae; Streptophyta; Magnoliopsida; Poales; Poaceae
Description: partial small subunit ribosomal RNA
Source: RNAcentral
UCUAGUGAAACACUCUCGCUCUAUCUUGAGUUUGUUUCUGGGGGCUCUAUACGUAAGUUGCUUAGAGAAUAUGGUCCAUUUGAAGAGGCAGUCCUCCGGAAUUACACUGCACAGAUCCUUUCUGGCCUUGCAUACUUGCAUAGGCGGAAUAUAGUGCACAGGGAUAUCAAAGGAGCAAAUGUAUUUGUAAAUUGUAAUGGUGACAUCAAACUCGCAGAUUUCAGUAUGACCAA